RNAcentral lists this ribosomal RNA (254 nucleotides) under uncultured bacterium. RNAcentral's name for it is "partial 16S ribosomal RNA". It matches the Rfam family "Bacterial small subunit ribosomal RNA", at positions 524 to 776 of the family's 1533-position model. The record is from RNAcentral.
UACGAAGGGGGCUAGCGUUGCUCGGAAUUAUUGGGCGUAAAGGGCGCGUAGGCGGCCAUGCGUGUCUUCCGUGAAAUCCCUCGGCUUAACUGAGGACGUGCGGAAGAAACUGCAAGGCUCGAGUCCGGGAGAGGGGGGUGGAAUUCCCAGUGUAGCGGUGAAAUGCGUAGAUAUCGGGAGGAACACCGGUGGCGAAGGCGGCAUCCUGGACCAACACUGACGCUGAGUGAGCGAAAGCCAGGGGAGCAAACGGG